This 988-nucleotide ribosomal RNA is filed under the name Candidatus Brocadia sp. Its description in RNAcentral is "partial 23S ribosomal RNA". It matches the Rfam family "Bacterial large subunit ribosomal RNA", at positions 1942 to 2925 of the family's 2925-position model. Lineage: Bacteria; Pseudomonadati; Planctomycetota; Candidatus Brocadiia; Candidatus Brocadiales; Candidatus Brocadiaceae. The record is from RNAcentral.
AUGAGAGUCCUAAGGUAGCGAAGUUCCUUGUCAGAUAAUUACUGACGUGCAUGAAUCGCGUAACGACUUGGGUACUGUCUCAACGAGGGACUCGGCGAAAUUGUAGUCGUGGUGAAGAUACCACGUACCCGCGGCAAGACGGAAAGACCCCGUGAACCUUUACUGUAGCCUAUUAUUGGGUUUUGGCACAGUAUGCGUAGGAUAGGUGGGAGACUGUGAAGUCCUGGCUCUGGCUAGGGCAGAGUCGACGUUGAAAUACCACUCUUACUAUGUUAAAAUUCUAACCAAACGCCGUGAAUCCGGGUUUGGAACAGUUAUAGGUGGGCAGUUUGACUGGGGCGGUCUCCUCCCAAAGAGUAACGGAGGAGUCCAAAGGCUUCCUCAGUGCGCUUGGCAACCGCACGAAGAGUGUAAGGGCAGAAGGAAGCUUAACUGUGAGACUUAUAAGUCGAGCAGGUGUGAAAGCAGGGCCUAGUGAUCCGGUGGUUGUGUGUGGAAAUACCAUCGCUCAACAGAUAAAAGGUACUCCGGGGAUAACAGGCUUAUCGCCCCCGAGCGUCCAUAGCGGCGGGGCGGUUUGGCACCUCGAUGUCGGCUCAUCGCAUCCUGGGGCUGGAGAAGGUCCCAAGGGUUCUGGAGUUCACAGAUUAAAGCGGUACGCGAGCUGGGUUUAGACCGUCGUGAGACAGGUCGGUCCCUAUCUGUCGUGGGUGUACGAUAUUUGAAGAGAUCUGUCCUUAGUACGAGAGGACCGGGAUGGACGUACCUCUGGUGCACCAGUUGUCGUGCUAACGGCAUAGCUGGGUAGCUACGUACGGAAAGGAUAAAUGCUGAAAGCAUAUAAGCAUGAAGCCUACUCUAAAACUAUAUAUCGUUUUCCAUUUAUGGAAGAGAGACACCUUGAAGACUACGAGGUUGAUAGGCCAGAGGUGUAAGUGUAGUAAUACACUAAGCUGACUGGUACUAAUAAGUCAAAAAGCUUGACUUU